Molecule: ribosomal RNA, 442 nt
Filed under: uncultured bacterium
Lineage: Bacteria
Description: partial 16S ribosomal RNA
Rfam family: Bacterial small subunit ribosomal RNA
Source: RNAcentral
CCUACGGGCGGCAGCAGUAGGGAAUCUUUCACAAUGGGCGAAAGCCUGAUGGAGCAACGCCGCGUGCAGGAUGAAGGCCUUCGGGUUGGAAACUGCUUUUAUAAGCGAGAAAUAUGAUGGUAACUUAUGAAUAAGGAUCGGCUAACUACGUGCAAGCAGCCGCGGUCAUACGUAGGAGCCGAGCAUUAUCCGGAGUGCCUGGGGGUAAAGAGUUGCGUAGGUGGCAUAAUAAGUAGCUAGUGAAAUCUGGGGGCUCAACCAUUCAGACUAUUAGCUAAACUGUUAAGCUCGAGACCGUUAGGGGUAACUGGAAUUUCUAGUGUAGGAGUGAAAUCCGUAGAUAUUAGAAGGAACACCAAUAGCGUAGGCAGGUUACUGGGACGGUUCUGACACUAAGGCACGAAAGCGUAGGGAGCAAACGGGAUUAGAUACCCCAGUAGUC